CUUAUGUAGAUUACUCUUAGAUUUAAGCAGACAGUUUUAUAGAGGAACUAAGAAAAAAAUGGAAGCUCUCUUGAUAAAAAGUCUGAUUUUCCCUGAGUACCAAAACAGACCUCAGUAAUAUUUUGGAAAUGUGUCUGAAAGUGUUUUGCAAGACUGAAGAAGUUGCAUGAGAAGCUUUCCAGGAUCACAAUGGAAAGGAAAGGAAAACACUUGCCUUCAUGAGAAACCCUCUAAAUUUUAGUGAGAGAACAUUGUUAAUUUUUUGUUGUUGUUGUCUUUGGUUUAAAAGAUUUGAAUUAAUUGGUCUCUUUGCAGCUUGUCUGAAAAGAAAUAUCAAUUAGGAAAUCUACUUGGUAGUUUAAUUUAUUUUCGUUUUAUGUAAAGAGUAUCAUUUGGGUUCUUUUUAAAACCUCUGAACUCAGGUAAAGAGUAGGAUUGCAGAGUCUCUCCUCUGUUGAUUCCUGCCUCCCCUUUGAUGACCCCCGGGGAGGUAUGUUUGUUUUCUUAAUAGCAUUUGAAUCUUCUUGAGACAUCUCAUAAAGUGGAUUUCUCUGUCAAAAUAUUCUUUUUUAAGCCUUCAAAAACAAAAAUUCUUACUGUCUUCUUUGAUGAUUUCUUAUGUUCAGGUUCAGACAGUAACUUUAAUUCCAGGAGAUGGUAUUGGCCCAGAAAUUUCAGCUGCAGUUAUGAAGAUUUUUGAUGCUGCCAAAGCACCUAUUCAGUGGGAGGAGCGGAACGUCACUGCCAUUCAAGGACCUGGAGGAAAGUGGAUGAUCCCUUCAGAGGCUAAAGAGUCCAUGGAUAAGAACAAGAUGGGCUUGAAAGGCCCUUUGAAGACCCCAAUAGCAGCCGGUCACCCAUCUAUGAAUUUACUGCUGCGCAAAACAUUUGACCUUUACGCGAAUGUCCGACCAUGUGUCUCUAUCGAAGGCUAUAAAACCCCUUACACCGAUGUAAAUAUUGUGACCAUUCGAGAGAACACAGAAGGAGAAUACAGUGGAAUUGAGCAUGUGAUUGUUGAUGGAGUCGUGCAGAGUAUCAAGCUCAUCACCGAGGGGGCGAGCAAGCGCAUUGCUGAGUUUGCCUUUGAGUAUGCCCGGAACAACCACCGGAGCAACGUCACGGCGGUGCACAAAGCCAACAUCAUGCGGAUGUCAGAUGGGCUUUUUCUACAAAAAUGCAGGGAAGUUGCAGAAAACUGUAAAGAUAUUAAAUUUAAUGAGAUGUACCUUGAUACAGUAUGUUUGAAUAUGGUACAAGAUCCUUCCCAAUUUGAUGUUCUUGUUAUGCCAAAUUUGUAUGGAGACAUCCUUAGGUUCAUGGGACGGCUCCAGACAUUGCAGGCAAGGACAUGGCGAAUCCCACAGCCCUCCUGCUCAGUGCUGUGAUGAUGCUGCGCCACAUGGGACUUUUUGACCAUGCUGCAAGAAUUGAGGCUGCGUGUUUUGCUACAAUUAAGGACGGAAAGAGCUUGACAAAAGAUUUGGGAGGCAAUGCAAAAUGCUCAGACUUCACAGAGGAAAUCUGUCGCCGAGUAAAAGAUUUAGAUUAACACUUCCACAACUGGCAUUUACAUCAGUCACUCUAAAUGGACACCACAUGAACCUCUGUUUAGAAUACCUACGUAUGUAUGCAUUGGUUUGCUUGUUUCUUGACAGUACAUUUUUAGAUCUGGCCUUUUCUUAACAAAAUCUGUGCAAAAGAUGCAGGUGGAUGUCCCUAGGUCUGUUUUCAAAGAACUUUUUCCAAGUGCUUGUUUUAUUUAUUAAGUGUCUACCUGGUAAAUGUUUUUUUUUGUAAACUCUGAGUGGACUGUAUCAUUUGCUAUUCCAAACCAUUUUACACUUAAGUUAAAAUAGUUUCUCUUCAGCUGUAAAUAACAGGAUACAGAAUUAACAAGAGAAAAAUGUCUAACUUUUUAAGAAAAACCUUAUUUUCUUCGGUUUUUGAAAAACAUAAUGGAAAUAAAACAGGAUAUUGACAUAAUAGCACAAAAUGACACUCUUCUAAAACUAAAUGGGCACAAGAGAAUUUUCCUGGGAAAGUUCACAUCAAAAAGAGUGAAUGUGGUAUAUUUCUAAAUGAUAUGGAAAAUAGAGACAGAUUUGUCCUUUACAGAAAUUACUGAGUGUGAAUAAAAACUUCAGAUCCAAGAAAUAUAUAACGAGAGAUAUAAUUUUUGUUAAUAAGACAAAGGUAAUAUAUUGGAUACAAAGAUAC
Molecule: small RNA, 2220 nt
Filed under: Pan troglodytes (chimpanzee)
Lineage: Eukaryota; Metazoa; Chordata; Mammalia; Primates; Hominidae
Description: retained intron
Source: RNAcentral